AAAAAAUGAUAGAUAAAGCCGAUUUUUGUGCAUCAAAAUCAGGUGAAUUGUCCAAAAAAACAAACAAAUAUUAGAGAAGCAAAAAGAGAAAUCAAGCCAGCAUCUAUUUACAUUUCUUCCUGUCUCUCUCUCUCUCCUUGUACGUACAUCUCAAAGACGUUUCUCUGGUUUUGUCACCUCUAAUAAGGCAUCAUGGAAAGUGUCCCGGAACCUUCAGUUUCUUCCUGCAAUGGUUCCCUGGACACUGCCAGAGAAGAUCAAGAAAAUGAGGAUAUUCCUGUUGCAGGCAGAACAAUAAAACGACAUGGGUUCUCUGACACUUUUUCAUCAAAUGACUUUGUAUCAGAAUUGAGAUCUUUGAAAGCAGAGGAGGAGGAGGAGGAGGUUUUUCAGGGUUGGGGUUUUUGGGUAUUCAUUUUAGUUCUGGGUUUAUGUUUAUGAGUAGUGAAGAUAGAGAGACUAGUCAACCUGGGAAAGGCAGGUGCUUAUUUGCUGGACGGGAGGAUAUUCGAUUGUAUCCAUGAAAUCACUUCGGCUCUCGCUUUCGCUAGGAUGAGCGAUUCCGCUUAUAAAGUUGAAACUACUUCGCGUCUUGCUCAAUGGAGAAUAGACAAUCUUGCUUCCUGUACCUACCGGAAAUCCGAUCCUUUCAAGAUCGGCAAGUGGAAUUGGCAUUUGUCAGUGGAGAAGAACAGGGUAUUAUAUGUUAAAUUGUAUCCAGAGAUAUCAAACCUUACCAGAGACAAUCCCCCAAUUGCAUCAUUCAUUAUUCGAGUUGUUUGUUCUGUGGGAGAUCGCAAGGCCUUGAUUCAUCCAGAGAUAACAGACAGGCAGCUCAAGAAUAAAGACGAUUUUGUUUGGCAAAUUGAAGUUCCAUUAACUGGGAAAUUCAUAAUUGAAGUGGAAUUUCUUGAUUUGAAGAUUGCAUCUCCAGACGUAUAUGCCUACUCCCACCUUGGUUUUCUAGCUUUACACCAAUUGAAAAGAAUAAUUUUCUUUGGACACAAAUGACCACAAAAAAAAAGCAAUGUUCAUUAGAACAACAUUUAAAUAGCAAAAAAUUCUUCAAGUUGAACGAAAAGGAGCCAAAAUUUUCUAUCUGCUUACCAUUAUAGAAUACCCAACUGGUGUGUCAUUUUUUUUUCACUUAGGAGCUAGUGCUGUUGAAAUCUAGUGUAGAAGAAGGGUUCUUUGCCUUUAUUUUAACAAAUGUGAUUUGCUUUUCAAUAUACAGGGAGGAGAACCUUGUUCCAUCUGGGCUGAAGGAUCUGCAAAAAGGCAAUCAAAUGCAACAGCUCUUGCAACCCUUGGUCGAAUGUUGACAGAAAGCAUCCAUACAGACAUUACAAUUAAUGCUUCUGAUGGAAGCAUUGGAGCCCAUCGUGCAGUCCUUGCUGCAAGAUCACCUGUUUUCCAAAGCAUGUUUUCUGAUGACUUAAAAGAGAGGGAGCAGUCUACCAUAAAUAUCUCUGAUAUGUCAAUUGAGGCUUGCCAGGCUUUUGUCAAUUGCAUUUAUGGAAGCAUCCAACAUGAAGAAUUUCUUUUCCACCGUCUGGCAUUUCUCCAAGCAGCUGAUAAAUAUGAUAUUGGGGACUUGAAAGAGGCAUGCUAUGAGAGUCUUUUGGAGGAUAUAGAUACAAAGAAUGUACUGGAGAGGCUACAAAGUGCAUCCUUGUAUCAGUUACCAAAACUAAAGAUGAGCUGCAUGCAGUAUCUUGUGAAGUUCGGUAAGAUAUUUGACAUUCUAGAUGAUUUCUGUGUCUUCAUGCAAUGUGCAGAUAGGGAUCUGAUAGCUGAAGUUUUCAACGAAGCUCUCAAUGCCUGGAAAGGAUUCUAAAACUCUGUCAAUGUCCUAUGAAAGAAAUUGUGUUUAAGUUGGUCGUUUUUUAACACUUCCACAAAGUGGGUGCUUAGAAGUGAUUUGCGUGCAUAAUUUGUUGCCAUCAAGUUAAUUCUUUGAUUUGAAGAAAUUUGUUUUCUUCACGUACAUAAAUAUUGUAUUUCAUGACAUAGAAAUACCACCUUUGUUAAAGAUGAUCCUGUAUUCAUGAAUGCUUGAUUGCAUGAAAUGUAAAUGAUUUGUUAUUUGAAUUUAGAUUUCCAGAAGAUUUUAAGUUUCACAGUAUAUUAUUGAGUUUAUAUUUCAGAACUACACUGUGUUUGAAUGAUCAGAUAUGAACUUCAACUCAAAUCUGGUUUGUAAGGAAUCAAUUAUACAAACAACAAUAAAGUCAAGAGUUGGUUUCAGGUCAUUUUCAAAUUAUCCAUAUGCUAUUUAGACACUUGAAAUCAUGGAAACAUCAGUAUAUUACAGCAUUGGUUGCAUUCAAUAACCACUUUGGUUUUAUGAAUCAUCUUAGGUAUCAGAUUAAUUGAUUGGCCUAGCAACCUAAUUCUGCUUAAUUAAUACACUAAUCGCAGUAGUAGGUCAGGAGGAAUCAGAACAUGGACAAGUAAAAGAAUGAAUUAUGCUAAGCAUGAAACUCCAAUUAUAGAAAACAAAUAAACGCUUCGU
Molecule: unclassified non-coding RNA, 2515 nt
Filed under: Hevea brasiliensis (rubber tree)
Lineage: Eukaryota; Viridiplantae; Streptophyta; Magnoliopsida; Malpighiales; Euphorbiaceae
Source: RNAcentral